Molecule: long non-coding RNA, 122 nt
Organism: Megalops cyprinoides (Indo-Pacific tarpon)
Lineage: Eukaryota; Metazoa; Chordata; Actinopteri; Elopiformes; Megalopidae
Exons: 3
Source: RefSeq, a predicted model, not a curated record
CAGGUACACCUGCCUUCCCCCUGCCCUACACACAGGUACACCUGCCUUCCCCCUGCCCUACGCCCAGGUACACCUGCAUAGCGCUCUAUACACAGGUACACCUGCCUUCCCCCUGCCCUACG